This 206-nucleotide unclassified non-coding RNA is filed under the name Hevea brasiliensis (rubber tree). Lineage: Eukaryota; Viridiplantae; Streptophyta; Magnoliopsida; Malpighiales; Euphorbiaceae. The record is from RNAcentral.
UUUUAUUACAUCUAGAUAACCCACAAAUUACAGGCACAAAUCCAUUUUCAUCAGUAUUAUUACCAAUUUCCUCUGCAAUUAGUUUCACAGAUUCGAAAUCUGCUUCAGAUGAAGCUGGAAAUCCAGCUUCAAUUAUAUCAACACCGAGUUUCGCUAGCUGACGAGCGACGUCGAGUUUCUCUUUCGUAGUCAUUGUAGCACCUGGA